Molecule: RNA transcript, 3259 nt
Organism: Triticum aestivum (bread wheat)
Lineage: Eukaryota; Viridiplantae; Streptophyta; Magnoliopsida; Poales; Poaceae
Exons: 3
Source: RefSeq, a predicted model, not a curated record
CCUCCUGAUCCAGUCCUCUCCCACCCACCGCCGACCUCGCCGUCCUCCUCACCCACCACCGCCGACCUCGUCCCUCCCUCCCCUCUCCGCAUCUCCCGGCCACCUCUAGGCCCGAGGAGAUCGAGCGAGCGCCCGAGUGCGCCUGUCCUCGCAGCCUCCUCCCACUAUUCCCCGCGCCCGAGCCCCACGAGAGGAGCUCCUCCUGUGUUUUUGCACGCCGCCGCCGGCGACCACCAGCCACAGCUUGCCGGAGCCAGCAGAUGAGUGCCACCCUUCUUCUCUGUUCUCUUCUUCCCGUGCUCUCUUUCUUCCUCCUUUCUCUCUCUCACACAUCUCGAUUUCUCUCUCUGUCUCAAAAAGUGCACUUCGCCGCCAUGGACGCUCGUGUCCCAGACCUUGCAGCGCGCCACCCUGAUGCGAAGUCCCUCCUCGCCGUUCCUGCGCCGCUGAGCCGAAGCCUCGCCCAAGUCCAAGCGCCUCCGACGUUUGCCUCCUCGCCAUGGCCUCCCCUGCUUCGUCUGCUUCGCGGACAGAGCUCCGUCUCCGUCAACGUGUCCUCCCGCCGUCUUUGUUCGUUGUCGAGCUCAAUCGACUCCAGCAGCACCCCCAUGGUGUCGCUCCGCUCGGCACCCGAGCGUCUCUCCAGCUUGCAGUAGCACCACUCUUCUCAAGUGCGCCCACCAGCCAGGCCGUUCGUCUCCAGCUCUUCGCUCUGGCUCUGUAUUGCGUUGUUCAUUCAAUCAGGGAUCUAUUCCAAGGUCUCGGGUCCGCCCUCUCCAUGGAGAAAGGGGAUAUCUAUUCAUUUUGCGUAAGUGAUUAAUCAGCGAGCGUGCGUGCUGAAUAUGUUCUCCACUGUCAAGGAUUUAUUUAUUGUCUUGUUAACUUCUAGCUACCUGCUGCUUGCGUUGCAUUGCAUUGCAUUGUGUGUCAAGUGAUUAAUCAGCAUGCGUGCUGAAUAUGUUCUUCACUGUCUAGGAUUUCUGCUGUGUUUUUUUUACUUGUAAUAAAUACUGUUAAAGUAGCCAGCCACUAGGAUCUGAAGCGCUCAAGACCUGUGACAGUUUUGCUUGAUUUUCCUCUUCAUACUAGCUAGUUUCUGAAAGGAUCUUGAUUCAAAUACAUUACAAUAUGCUCAUUUUUUAUCUCCAAGCAGAGGCUCUAGUAAUGAAAUUUCUCUAGUAAUGUAAUAGGCGUGGGACUGUUCUGCAAACUAGCAUGUGUAGUGCAACACAUUAUUCAGUCACCACUUAUUUCCUGCACAUUAGUAGGGUAGCUGCAUAAUCUAUCUAUUUCUCUUUCCUUUAUGUAAAUAGUUGACAUGAUGCCAUAUUGCAGUAUUGCAAGUUAGGAGAAACAAGUUUCAAAUUGAUUUCUCCACCUGCUGCUUCCAUUCUUAUUAAUCAGUGUGCCAAUAAUGGCAUCUGUUUUGAGGCGACUCCAUCCCGUUCGUGAUAGUAAUUUGUUUAGAACCGCAAGGCAGCUUUGCUUUCUGCAGUAUCUCAUGCCUUGUUUUGUUCUGUCGACUGAGGCCUGAGGCAGAGCAAAGGCUUGCCGAUUAUUGCUUACAAUGCCAAGUUGCAAUUAGCUGGGAUGUGUAGCGUGGCUAGCUUGUGUUGAUUGGUUUUGAGAUAUAAUUGGAAACUGAUUGUGUGUCAGUACAACAAACGUGAUGAUUUUUUUGAAUAGAAAACAUGCUGAUGGAAGUGUCCUUCCAUACGUGAUUCUAAUUUGCACUUCUCGGUCAAAGGCAUCUCCAGUACGUGACACACUUUGGAUGUGCAAACGAAUAUGUGCGUGUUUCACAUAUUAUGUGAGAAAAUUUUGUUAGUUCUCGGCCAUUAUAAUUAGGAUCCACAGCUUGUUUGCCUCCCUUUGCUAGGCUGUUUGGGAACGUAUGUCAUAGAUAGGCGUAGUUUUCUUUUUUUUACAGGUACAUGGCCGUGUAGGAAUUGGACUCAACUCAUUGCUUUGCAUGGCAGUCUAGAAAUCAUAUGGGGUAUGGAGACAUCUAUACAUGGUUACUUUUUAAUAAUAUAAUAGAUUAGCUGUAAAUGUGCCCCCCUUACCGAAGAAGAUAAGAAUCCAUAUGUGUUAUGCAAAAUUAACUUUGUCAUCUUGUAAGCGCUCUAGGCAGUGUCUAGAGGGUGAAAAAUAUGAGAACAAAAAAGAAUUACUGGAUUAAUUUACAACAUCCAUCCUUUACUUCGUCCAUGUCAUUGUUGUUUACCCCUGGGAGUAUUUUUAACUUGAAAAUCUCUGGUGAACUGCCAUUUAAAGUACAUUUGCUUGCUCUGUUAAUUUUUUUGGGUUACUCCAUCUUGCUCUGUUAAGUAAAAUUAGAUAUGUGGGGUACCAGCAGUAAGCUAGACCCUCCAUCUUGCUCUGUACAUAGUCAAAGCUACUCCAAGUUAGCAGCAGUACUGUUAACUUCUCAAUUUGAUUGGAUUACAUUUAAAUUGUAGUACUCCAGUAAUUUUGCUUAGAUUAUUUAACAAGAUCGAACUGUAUUUGUGCGGAGUAAUUUUUCUUGGAGUAUUUAACAAGAUUGAACAAGAUUUAACUUUUCAACAUUUAACAGUACUUUUCAGUAAGUAUUCUGAACAUGCUUCUGAAUAUUUGCAGAUUCUGAACAUGCAAGCAAAUAUGCAGGAGUAAACAAGUUCUUGCAGUAGAUAUUGUAAGUGUUUGUUCUGAACAUGUACUGUCACCGAAGAUAUUGCAAGUGGUCUGACAAGAUUUUCUCAAUUUGCAAGUUUAGUUACUUUUCCAGUUAAUUAACUGGACAUCUUGGAGUAGUUAGAAAAUCAUGAAUUAUUUACAGAAAUUCGUAGAAGUAUUGUACUCCAAUGUGCAUUACUUACAUAAACUUGCUUGCAAGCUUAUUUUCUGACUUUCAUAUUCUGAAACUGAAAAACCUUAGUUAAAUUCUAUUAAAUUUCAGUAAUAUUCAGUGGAGUGGAGUGUUUACUGUAAAUUUUGAACAUCACAGUAAUUUCCCUUGCUGUUAACUGCUAUAGCAUUAGGAGUAGUUUUACUGCAGUACUUCUUGAACUACUCCAAGCAUUAGGAGUACUGUAAAGCGAGUAAAUGGAGGGCGAGGAAUUUUUACUGCAAUGUAGGAUUGCACAGGGAGUUGUUAGUAGUAGAUGUUGAUGAUCAUAGUCAGGAGAUGGAGGGUGACACACAGCCAUGGAGAGGAGCGGCAGCUCAAGAUAUUUUGAGUAAAUUCAAGACGAAAGAUGUUCAAAGAAGCUCUAAG